GACGAACGCUGGCGGCGUGCUUAACACAUGCAAGUCGAACGGAAAGGCCCUGCUUUUGUGGGGUGCUCGAGUGGCGAACGGGUGAGUAACACGUGAGUAACCUGCCCUUGACUUUGGGAUAACUUCAGGAAACUGGGGCUAAUACCGGAUAGGAGCUCCUGCUGCAUGGUGGGGGUUGGAAAGUUUCGGCGGUUGGGGCUGGACUCGCGGCUUAUCAGCUUGUUGGUGGGGUAGUGGCUUACCAAGGCUUUGACGGGUAGCCGGCCUGGGAGGGUGACCGGCCACAUUGGGACUGAGAUACGGCCCAGACUCCUACGGGAGGCAGCAGUGGGGAAUAUUGCACAAUGGGCGGAAGCCUGAUGCAGCAACGCCGCGUGCGGGAUGACGGCCUUCGGGUUGUAAACCGCUUUCGACUGUGACGAAGCGUGAGUGACGGUAAUGGGUAAAGAAGCACCGGCUAACUACGUG
This 468-nucleotide ribosomal RNA is filed under the name uncultured bacterium. RNAcentral describes it as "partial 16S ribosomal RNA". It matches the Rfam family "Bacterial small subunit ribosomal RNA", at positions 28 to 507 of the family's 1533-position model. The record is from RNAcentral.